AUUGAACGCUGGCGGCAGGCCUAACACAUGCAAGUCGAGCGGAUGAAGGGAGCUUGCUCCUGGAUUCAGCGGCGGACGGGUGAGUAAUGCCUAGGAAUCUGCCUGGUAGUGGGGGAUAACGUCCGGAAACGGGCGCUAAUACCGCAUACGUCCUGAGGGAGAAAGUGGGGGAUCUUCGGACCUCACGCUAUCAGAUGAGCCUAGGUCGGAUUAGCUAGUUGGUGGGGUAAAGGCCUACCAAGGCGACGAUCCGUAACUGGUCUGAGAGGAUGUUCAGUCACACUGGAACUGAGACACGGUCCAGACUCCUACGGGAGGCAGCAGUGGGGAAUAUUGGACAAUGGGCGAAAGCCUGAUCCAGCCAUGCCGCGUGUGUGAAGAAGGUCUUCGGAUUGUAAAGCACUUUAAGUUGGGAGGAAGGGCAGUAAGUUAAUACCUUGCUGUUUUGACGUUACCAACAGAAUAAGCACCGGCUAACUUCGU
Molecule: ribosomal RNA, 483 nt
Filed under: uncultured bacterium
Lineage: Bacteria
Description: partial 16S ribosomal RNA
Rfam family: Bacterial small subunit ribosomal RNA
Source: RNAcentral